RNAcentral lists this ribosomal RNA (253 nucleotides) under uncultured bacterium. Its description in RNAcentral is "partial 16S ribosomal RNA". It matches the Rfam family "Bacterial small subunit ribosomal RNA", at positions 524 to 776 of the family's 1533-position model. The record is from RNAcentral.
UACGUAGGUGGCAAGCGUUGUCCGGAUUUACUGGGCGUAAAGGGCGUGCAGGCGGUUUGUUAAGUGCAGGGUGAAAGCUCCCGGCUCAACUGGGAGAGGUCCUUGCAUACUGGCAAACUCGAGGGAGGCAGAGGAAAGUGGAAUUCCCGGUGUAGUGGUGAAAUGCGUAGAGAUCCGGAGGAACACCAGUGGCGAAGGCGACACGCUGGGCCAUACCUGACGCUAAAGCGCGACAGCAUGGGGAGCAAACGGG